GAUGAACGCUGGCGGCGUGCCUAAUACAUGCAAGUCGAGCGAACAGACGAGGAGCUUGCUCCUCUGACGUUAGCGGCGGACGGGUGAGUAACACGUGGAUAACCUACCUAUAAGACUUGGAUAACUUCGGGAAACCGGAGCUAAUACCGGAUAAUAUAUUGAACCGCAUGGUUCAAUAGUGAAAGACGGUUUUGCUGUCACUUAUAGAUGGAUCCGCGCCGCAUUAGCUAGUUGGUAAGGUAACGGCUUACCAAGGCGACGAUGCGUAGCCGACCUGAGAGGGUGAUCGGCCACACUGGAACUGAGACACGGUCCAGACUCCUACGGGAGGCAGCAGUAGGGAAUCUUCCGCAAUGGGCGAAAGCUUGACGGAGCAACGCCGCGUGAGUGAUGAAGGUCUUCGGAUCGUAAAACUCUGUUAUUAGGGAAGAACAAAUGUGUAAGUAACUAUGCACGUCUUGACGGUACCUAAUCAGAAAGCCACGGCUAACUACGUG
This 497-nucleotide ribosomal RNA is filed under the name uncultured bacterium. RNAcentral's name for it is "partial 16S ribosomal RNA". It matches the Rfam family "Bacterial small subunit ribosomal RNA", at positions 28 to 507 of the family's 1533-position model. The record is from RNAcentral.